This 20-nucleotide ribosomal RNA is filed under the name Alpinia officinarum (lesser galangal). RNAcentral's name for it is "partial 28S ribosomal RNA". The record is from RNAcentral. Lineage: Eukaryota; Viridiplantae; Streptophyta; Magnoliopsida; Zingiberales; Zingiberaceae.
CGCCCAAUGAGCAAUGCAGC